GUUUUGUUUUUUGGUUUCAUGUAGUCCCACUUGUUUAUUUUUGGCUUUAUUGUUUUCACUUUUGAUGUCAGAUUGAGAAAAAACUCAUCUCCAAGACCUGUGUCAGGGAGCUUGUUGCCUACGUUUUCUUCCAGGAGUGUUACGAUUCCAGGUUUUAUGUUCAUCUUUAAUUUUUAGUUUAGUCCUUCAGCCACUAGAUGGAUUUGACUACAUUAAGUACGGGCUGCACCCCCUUACCCCUAACCCUGCUUUUUAAAAAUUAUAAAUGGUGACCAAGUUAAAGAAAGGACCAUUGAGAACUUAGAGUUCUGGAGUUAUUCAUAGGAUGAAUGUGUGGAACUUUUUUUUUUUUUGGUAUGAGUUAACAAUACAAAUGACCUUUUACUUGGAACUAUUCCUGGACUAGGUGUAGGAGUGAUUCAGUCUAUGUCUUUGUAACACAACCGAUGGGCAACAAAAAAAAAAAAAAAAAAAAAAAAAAAAAAAA
This is a long non-coding RNA of Lynx canadensis (Canada lynx), 487 nucleotides long. RefSeq lists it as uncharacterized. Lineage: Eukaryota; Metazoa; Chordata; Mammalia; Carnivora; Felidae. The transcript has 2 exons. The record is from RefSeq and is a predicted model, not a curated record.